This 253-nucleotide ribosomal RNA is filed under the name uncultured bacterium. RNAcentral's name for it is "partial 16S ribosomal RNA". It matches the Rfam family "Bacterial small subunit ribosomal RNA", at positions 524 to 776 of the family's 1533-position model. The record is from RNAcentral.
UACGUAGGUGGCAAGCGUUACUCGGAAUCACUAGGCGUAAAGCGCAGGUAGGAGGUUUGGUAAGUCUCUUGUGAAAGCUCCCGGCUUAACUGGGAGAGGUCAAGGGAAACUGCCAGGCUGGAGUGCGGUAGAGGUAGCUGGAAUUCCCGGUGUAGCGGUGAAAUGCGUAGAUAUCAGGAGGAAUACCUAUGGCGAAAGCAGGCUGCUGGACCGUCACUGACUCUGAUCUGCGAAAGCUAGGGGAGCAAACAGG